AACGGCGAGUGAAGCGGCAACAGCUCAAAUUUGAAAUCUGGCUCUCGGGCCCGAGUUGUAAUUUGUAGAGGAUACUUUUGAUGCGGUGCCUUCCGAGUUCCCUGGAACGGGACGCCAUAGAGGGUGAGAGCCCCGUCUGGUUGGAUGCCAAAUCUCUGUAAAGUUCCUUCGACGAGUCGAGUAGUUUGGGAAUGCUGCUCUAAAUGGGAGGUAUAUGUCUUCUAAAGCUAAAUAUUGGCCAGAGACCGAUAGCGCACAAGUAGAGUGAUCGAAAGAUGAAAAGCACUUUGAAAAGAGAGUUAAAAAGUACGUGAAAUUGUUGAAAGGGAAGCGUUUAUGACCAGACUUGGACUUGGUUAAUCAUCUGGGGUUCUCCCCAGUGCACUUCUCCAGUUCAGGCCAGCAUCAGUUUUCGCCGGGGGAUAAAGGCAGCGGGAAUGUGGCUCUCUUCGGGGAGUGUUAUAGCCCGUUGUGUAAUACCCUGGUGGGGACUGAGGUUCGCGCUUCUGCAAGGAUGCUGGCGUAAUGGUCAUCAACGACCCGUCUUGAAACACGGACCAAGGAGUCGUCUUCGUAUGCGAGUGUUCGGGUGUCAAACCCCUACGCGUAAUGAAAGUGAACGCAGGUGAGAGCUUCGGCGCAUCAUCGACCGAUCCUGAUGUUCUCGGAUGGAUUUGAGUAAGAGCAUACGGGGCCGGACCCGAAAGAAGGUGAACUAUGCCUGUAUAGGGUGAAGCCAGAGGAAACUCUGGUGGAGGCUCGCAGCGGUUCUGACGUGCAAAUCGAUCGUCAAAUAUGGGCAUGGGGGCGAAAGACUAAUCGAACCUUCUAGUAGCUGGUUUCC
This 844-nucleotide ribosomal RNA is filed under the name Fusarium lateritium. RNAcentral's name for it is "LSU rRNA". It matches the Rfam family "Eukaryotic large subunit ribosomal RNA", at positions 85 to 959 of the family's 3401-position model. The record is from RNAcentral. Lineage: Eukaryota; Fungi; Ascomycota; Sordariomycetes; Hypocreales; Nectriaceae.